UAAAGCGUGGGAACUCGUGGGGAGACUGCCGGUGAUAACCGGAGGAAGGCGGGGUGACGUCAAGUCCUCAUGGCCCUUACAUCCCGGGCUACACACGUGCUACAAUGGCAGGUACAGAGGGCUGCGAAGCCGCGAGGUGGAGCGAAUCCCAGAAAACCUGUCUCAGUCCGGAUUGAAGUCUGCAACUCGACUUCAUGAAGGCGGAAUCGCUAGUAAUCGUGGAUCAGCAUGUCACGGUGAAUACGUUCCCGGGUCUU
Molecule: ribosomal RNA, 257 nt
Filed under: uncultured Latescibacterota bacterium
Lineage: Bacteria; Pseudomonadati; Candidatus Latescibacterota
Description: uncultured Latescibacteria bacterium partial 16S ribosomal RNA
Rfam family: Bacterial small subunit ribosomal RNA
Source: RNAcentral